ACUCCAUGGUGUGGACAUGAUCUUGUAUAUCCUUUAAACCGUUCCCAAGCUUCAUACAACGACUCAUUACCUCCUUACUUGAAAGUGGCGAUGUCAUUCCUUAUCUU
Molecule: non-coding RNA, 107 nt
Organism: Arabis alpina (gray rockcress)
Lineage: Eukaryota; Viridiplantae; Streptophyta; Magnoliopsida; Brassicales; Brassicaceae
Source: Rfam